AUUGAACGCUGGCGGCAGGCCUAAUACAUGCAAGUCGAACGGUAGCACAGAGAGCUUGCUCUCGGGUGACGAGUGGCGGACGGGUGAGUAAUGUCUGGGAAACUGCCCGAUGGAGGGGGAUAACUACUGGAAACGGUAGCUAAUACCGCAUAACGUCGCAAGACCAAAGUGGGGGACCUUCGGGCCUCACACCAUCGGAUGUGCCCAGAUGGGAUUAGCUAGUAGGUGGGGUAAUGGCUCACCUAGGCGACGAUCCCUAGCAGGUCUGAGAGGAGGACCAGCCACACUGGAACUGAGACACGGUCCAGACUCCUACGGGAGGCAGCAGUGGGGAAUAUUGCACAAUGGGCGCAAGCCUGAUGCAGCCAUGCCGCGUGUAUGAAGAAGGCCUUCGGGUUGUAAAGUACUUUCAGCGGGGAGGAAGGCGGUGGAGUUAAUAACUUCACCGAUUGACGUUACCCGCAGAAGAAGCACCGGCUAACUCCGUGCCAGCCGCCGCCGUAA
RNAcentral lists this ribosomal RNA (504 nucleotides) under uncultured bacterium. RNAcentral's name for it is "partial 16S ribosomal RNA". It matches the Rfam family "Bacterial small subunit ribosomal RNA", at positions 30 to 523 of the family's 1533-position model. The record is from RNAcentral.